RNAcentral lists this ribosomal RNA (275 nucleotides) under uncultured bacterium. Its description in RNAcentral is "partial 16S ribosomal RNA". It matches the Rfam family "Bacterial small subunit ribosomal RNA", at positions 793 to 1055 of the family's 1533-position model. The record is from RNAcentral.
GUCCACGCCCUAAACGAUGGAUACUAAGCAGAGGAACCUGCAAGGGUUUCUUUGCCGUAGCGAAAGCGUUAAGUAUCCCGCCUGGGGAGUAUGGUCGCAAGGCUGAAACUCAAAGGAAUUGACGGGGGCUCACACAAGCGGUGGAGCAUGUUGCUUAAUUCGAUGCAACGCGAAGAACCUUACCUGGGCUCGAAAGCGCACGAAUUAAACUCGAAUGAAAAGUCGAGGUAACCCGCAAAGGGUAAAAGCGUGCGAAGGUGUUGCAUGGCUGUCGU